UGCUGUUGUUUGGACAGAUGAUGUGGCAACAUAUAUGAGCUCUCCUCGUAUUUUUUUAUUUUCUUAUUUUUUCUAAUUUUUCAAAUAUUAUUUCAUUUUUACCAAUUUUUUCACAUUUAAUUAUACUAAAACAAUAUAACAGCCCAUAACCGUAUUUUUGUAUUUACUAUUCUUUUUGGAACAAUUAUUACAAUAUAACAACUGUAGGAUUUUUAUUCCUAAUAUAUCACCUACACACAGCAAAGACUAGUCAAAAGUAAUGGUCAAAUCUGACCUUUAAAACCAGUCAAAGCCCUCUUUUGACACCCUGUGAUAUAACCCCUACGACAACCCCUUAAAUCUAUAUACUACAGGUCGUAUAUUAAAUGUUCUGAAACCCUAAAGCAUUUAUCACAUAUAUAUAUAUAUAAUCUCUUUUCCUUUCAAACACUCACAGCCACCACUAUCAAAAACCUAGCAGAUAAUUAAACGGCCCUUCUUCUUCAAUGUUCUUCUCUGAAGAACAUGAAGAACAACCACAAAACCCACUGCCCAGAAAAUAGAAAUUAAACCCCAGAAAAAUAACCCCUUCCUAAACCGAUUAUAACCCUAUAAAUCCCAAGCAGAAAAAUAACAAACACAGUAUAGAAAUUGCAGAAAGUUUAAAGGAAAGAAUGCACCAUGGAUUUUAUAGAGGUUCCCCAAUGAAAUCUGGGUACGUCCUCUUGAGCUCGCCUCUUCCACUAUAGAUCUUCAAUGAUCAAGAGAUUACACAGCAAGGAUUCCAACUCACAACAUUUUGAGAGGUAAUCCGAAUAUAUAUAUGUAUAUAUAUACAGUGUUUAUUCCUCUAUUUUUCCUCUCUCUGUUUCUCUCAAAAUCAAUACUAACAAUGUUGUGUUUAUCUUCUUCUUUUCAUGAACAACACUCUCUGGCCAUGGAUAUCCGAACCACCACCUUGGUUCCAAAGCUUACUCCAUAGUAAGCCUCCUCCAAGACCCCGAAAUCAGUCGGUUACAGAUCUGAUCUUGUUAUUGUGCCUUGUUUGGCUCUGAUACCACUGUAGGAUUUUUAUUCCUAAUAUAUCACCUACACACAGCAAAGACUAGUCAAAAGUAAUGGUCAAAUCUGACCUUUAAAACCAGUCAAAGCCCUCUUUUGACACCCUGUGAUAUAACCCCUACGACAACCCCUUAAAUCUAUAUACUACAGGUCGUAUAUUAAAUGUUCUGAAACCCUAAAGCAUUUAUCACAUAUAUAUAUAUAUAUAAUCUCUUUUCCUUUCAAACACUCACAGCCACCACUAUCAAAAACCUAGCAGAUAAUUAAACGGCCCUUCUUCUUCAAUGUUCUUCUCUGAAGAACAUGAAGAACAACCACAAAACCCACUGCCCAGAAAAUAGAAAUUAAACCCCAGAAAAAUAACCCCUUCCUAAACCGAUUAUAACCCUAUAAAUCCCAAGCAGAAAAAUAACAAACACAGUAUAGAAAUUGCAGAAAGUUUAAAGGAAAGAAUGCACCAUGGAUUUUAUAGAGGUUCCCCAAUGAAAUCUGGGUACGUCCUCUUGAGCUCGCCUCUUCCACUAUAGAUCUUCAAUGAUCAAGAGAUUACACAGCAAGGAUUCCAACUCACAACAUUUUGAGAGGUAAUCCGAAUAUAUAUAUGUAUAUAUAUACAGUGUUUAUUCCUCUAUUUUUCCUCUCUCUGUUUCUCUCAAAAUCAAUACUAACAAUGUUGUGUUUAUCUUCUUCUUUUCAUGAACAACACUCUCUGGCCAUGGAUAUCCGAACCACCACCUUGGUUCCAAAGCUUACUCCAUAGUAAGCCUCCUCCAAGACCCCGAAAUCAGUCGGUUACAGAUCUGAUCUUGUUGUAUUGUUCUUUCUCUGAUAAUAUUGUUGUACUGAUCUUGUGUUUUUAUAUUUCUCUGAUUGUUGUUCUGAACAUCAUAUUGAUCUGGUCUGUUUUUGAUGUUAUAUAUAGAUGUUGUAAUUUUCUCC
Cannabis sativa is the source of this 1980-nucleotide long non-coding RNA. RefSeq lists it as uncharacterized. The record is from RefSeq and is a predicted model, not a curated record. The transcript has 2 exons. NCBI's taxonomy places the organism in Eukaryota, Viridiplantae, Streptophyta, Magnoliopsida, Rosales, Cannabaceae.